This 375-nucleotide ribosomal RNA is filed under the name uncultured organism. RNAcentral describes it as "partial 16S ribosomal RNA". It matches the Rfam family "Bacterial small subunit ribosomal RNA", at positions 527 to 896 of the family's 1533-position model. The record is from RNAcentral.
GUAGGUGGCAAGCGUUGUCCGGAAUUAUUGGGGCGUAAAGCGCGCGCAGGUGGUUCUUUAAGUCUGAUGUGAAAGCCCCCGGGCUCAACCGGGGGAGGGUCAUUGGAAACUGGGGAACUUGAGUGCAGGAGAGGAAAGUGGAAUUCCACGUGUAGCGGUGAAAUGCGUAGAUAUGUGGAGGAACACCAGUGGCGAAGGCGACUUUCUGGCCUGUAACUGACACUGAGGCGCGAAAGCGUGGGGAGCAAGCAGGAUUAGAUACCCUGGUAGUCCACGCCGUAAACGAUGAGUGCUAAGUGUUGGGGGGUUUCCGCCCCUCAGUGCUGCAGCUAACGCAUUAAGCACUCCGCCUGGGGAGUACGGUCGCAAAGACUG